UACGGGGGGAGCAAGCGUUGUUCGGAUUUACUGGGCGUAAAGGGCGCGUAGGCGGCGUGACAAGUCACUUGUGAAAUCUCCGGGCUUAACUCGGAACGGUCAAGUGAUACUGUCGGACUAGAGUACAGAAGGGGCAACUGGAAUUCUCGGUGUAGCGGUGAAAUGCGUAGAUAUGCGGAGGAACACCGAUGGCGAAGGCAAUCCCCUGGGCCUGCACUGACGCUCAUGCACGAAAGCGUGGGGAGCAAACAGG
Molecule: ribosomal RNA, 253 nt
Filed under: uncultured bacterium
Lineage: Bacteria
Description: partial 16S ribosomal RNA
Rfam family: Bacterial small subunit ribosomal RNA
Source: RNAcentral